ACCGCUGGCUUCCCAGGCCCCAGCCUUCUCACUGCUCCCCAUCCACCAGGCUGCCCUGUCCUCACUGGUGGAAGGCUCCUUACAACCAAGCCAGUAGGGGAGUAAAAUAUUGGCAACACUGAUGUUUGCCCUUGAGGGUCUUAUAGGCCACGUCGUCACUGCUUUCCUUUUGUUAAUCAAUUUGAAGAUACAAAUAAUAAUAAAUAUUUAUAAAGCAUCCUAUAAUUUACAAAAUUGUUUUAUCUCUUUUAUCAACUUGAUGUUAUUACUAUGCCUAUUUUACAGAUGAAGGAAAUGGAGGCCUCAUGAGGUUAAGUCCAAGUUCACAAAGCUAGUUUGUUCUCUCCAUCCUCCACACCUGGCCCGGGUACCAUGUCCUUCUCUGACUUGGCUCCCCAUCCUCUCAGCUGUAGCCCAUAUUUCAUUUUGCCCCAGAGCUACCUCUUGACGUAUACCCACUCUGCACACAGCUCCAUUUGACGUAACAACCCAUAACCCGCCUGUAUGUCCACUAUAUUAGCCAUCACAGAAGGCCCAGCACCUUGCACAGAGCUCCAGACAAGCCCUCGUGAGUGGUUCUCCAGUCAAGAAGUGGGCAAUCUUGGAAAGAAUACAGACGCUAAGGAGCAUCUGUGAAUGGCCAGUGCUUCCCCUAGUCCAUCUGCUGACAACCCUCCGCUGUUACUGCACGCACUGUAACAGAUCUAUGGGAAGGGAAGGGCUGAGGGCUUGGAUUGACAGCCCAGGUACACUGCAGGGACGCCUAAACUACCCAUCCCCCCAAACUCUCUAAAUAGAAACGUGAAUAAAAUGACUAUUUGCUGGUCAUAUUAUGAACUACAGAGUUGGGCUAAUGGACAGUGGUCCCACAAGCUCAGAACACCUUUCAUCUACGCAUGCACGUGGGAUGAGUUGAAUACAUGACUACUGAAUUGGACUAUAUUUCCCUGCCUUCCUUUAACCAGGUAUGGUCAUGACUAAAUCUUCUCUAAUGCGAUAGAAAUCAAAAGUAGUUGUGUCACUUCUAGGUCAGGAUGUAGGGGCGGUGGAGAAGCACUCCUCAAGCUCUCUUUCCUCUUCCUCCUGC
Molecule: non-coding RNA, 1087 nt
Organism: Sus scrofa (pig)
Lineage: Eukaryota; Metazoa; Chordata; Mammalia; Artiodactyla; Suidae
Source: RefSeq, a predicted model, not a curated record